RNAcentral lists this ribosomal RNA (478 nucleotides) under uncultured anaerobic ammonium-oxidizing bacterium. RNAcentral describes it as "SSU rRNA". It matches the Rfam family "Bacterial small subunit ribosomal RNA", at positions 364 to 832 of the family's 1533-position model. The record is from RNAcentral.
UUUCGCAAUGCCCGAAAGGGUGACGAAGCGACGCCGCGUGUGGGAUGAAGGCCUUCGGGUUGUAAACCACUGUCGGGAGUUAAGAAUUGUAGGAAUGCUAAUAGUAUUUCUACUUGACUAAGGCUCCGGAGGAAGCCACGGCCAACUCUGUGCCAGCAGCCGCGGUAAUACAGAGGCGGCAAGCGUUGUUCGGAAUUAUUGGGCGUAAAGAGCAUGUAGGCGGCUAUGUAAGUCGGUUGUGAAAGCCUUCCGCUUAACGGAAGAAUGGCGGUCGAAACUGCAUGGCUUGAGUGCGGGAGGGGAGAGUGGAACUUCUGGUGGAGCGGUGAAAUGCGUAGAUAUCAGAAGGAACGUCGGCGGCGAAAGCGACUCUCUAGACCGUAACUGACGCUGAGUGUGCGAAAGCUAGGGGAGCAAACGGGAUUAGAUACCCCGGUAGUCCUAGCCGUAAACGAUGGGCACUAAGUAGAGGGGUUUU